Osmerus eperlanus (European smelt) is the source of this 2441-nucleotide long non-coding RNA. RefSeq lists it as uncharacterized. The record is from RefSeq and is a predicted model, not a curated record. Lineage: Eukaryota; Metazoa; Chordata; Actinopteri; Osmeriformes; Osmeridae. The transcript has 2 exons.
AGGAAAGGAGAGCUGUUUUGAGAGAGUAAUCCAGAGGUUCGGGAGGAAAGUUGUUUACGUUGUCGUGGGAGACGGAGUGGAAGAGGAGCAAGGCUCAAAAAAGCACAACAUGCCCUUCUGGAGGAUCUCCAGCCACUCUGACCUCAUGGCUCUCCACCAUGCUCUGGACCUGGAGUACUUGUAGCACCUCCACCUCUGCCCAGCUCCAGCUUCCACUAACUUUGCGACCUUUCACCUCCGGCCCUUGGAACCCUAGACCCCUGUCCCACGCCAACCGCAGCCCCCGCAGCCCAGAGAAGGCCCCCCUGUGUCGCCUGGCGUCUGCCCUCCACCAGACAGGAAGAAAAGAAGAACAAGAGAAGAGAAGAAAAAAGAAAGAAACUGAGUGACACGGUCAAUGUGUUGACAUACGGCCACAAUUCGUCUUAACCCUAAACCUUUUUUUCGGAGGGAAGCGGAGGAGAGUGAAUUUAUGGCGCUGCAGCUGCUAGCCCUGGUUACUGUGAAUUGGCUGCUUUCUGAAGCCGUCAAAGUGUUUUACGGCCCUGUAUGUGCCGGGACUCUGCAAGGGUUCACACCUGUGAGGAGAGCAGAGCUACUGACGCCCAAGGCUCAGCAAAACCACAGAAGAGGACUGCUAUCAUCCCUAUCUCUCUCUCUCUCUCUCUCUCUCUCUCUCUCUCUCUCUCUCUCUCUCUCUCUCUCUCUCUCUCUCUCUCUCUCUCUCUCUCUCUCUCUCUCUGUCUCUCUCCUCUCUCUCUCUCUCUCUCUCUCUCUCUCAGUCCCACCUCUACAGUGCAUGGCCGUCCUCCUCUGCUCCCUCCUGGCCUGGCCGCCUGUGCUUUUUAUUUAUGAAUGGAGACUUUGUGAGUGGCUCUGUCUGUCCCCAGGAAGGUACCUCCAGGAAAGACUUGUGCCUUGCUCACCUGACAAAGUACUUUGAUUUCCACCACACCAAGAGGACGAGGAAGGCUCUUAUGGAAGAAUCAAAACAUGGGUUUUCUAAUAAUUUAAGAAAAUUAAGAAACUUUAUUUACUAUGCUGAGGCAAUCGUGUACAGAGGAAAUCUUUUUGUGUGUAAAUUUGUAAUCACUGGACUAUUCCUUCCUAUAUUCAUUUAGGUACAUGCUCUUGAAAGAUGGCAAUGCUUUUUCAUUGAAGUAAAAAAAAAAAAAAAGCAUCGUGUAGCACAUUAGCUUGUGCGGUGCCCGAAAGUGUUGAUGUGUUUAAGGUUUUGUUCAUUAAACAAAUAUGUAGAUAAAGGGAUUUUGUGAUAACUCGUUAUGUUAAGACCAAAAGCAUGGAUGUCAAGUGUCAAUGAUCAUUUCAUUUUGUUCAGCUGUGUUUUCCCCGUCAGUAUCCCAACUCCAUACUCCCAGAAAAAAAAGGCAUUCUGACAUCUCACGUAUCUUAAGACAAAAGCUCUCCUCUGAAUCACCACUUUUUUAGAUACAUAUUUGAUAGGGGAUAAUGUUUCGCUUUUCCUUUUUACUUAUUCAGAGAAGUCGCUCAAUCUUGUGCCCCUAAGGCACCUCGGCUGGCAGCCCAAACCCUAUGUAUUUGGAAGCUAGCAUAUUCAGCCACGAUAUCGUAUAACUUGGAUAAGGGUUUCUAACCUGGCAUUGAACUGAGUGAUAAUUGUUAAAACUUUCCCUCUCAUUGUUCUUGCCUAAUCAGAGCCAUUUUGACAAUUUCAAUAAAUUUAGGAGGUCAUCUUUCAGGAAAAAGCUUAAUUAAUAGGUUUUAUUAUCUUUUAUACAAGCGCUAUAAAAAAAACUAUUGUACAGCAAGCGUCAUUUUGUAUAAAGUAGUGUUUUUAUUUUGACAAAAAAUUGUGUUCUUCUGUGUCUCACUUUGAACGGCAGUAGUUAAAAAUCAUGACACCUGUUUUGAUAGGGCUGUGGAACUGGGGAUUGGGAAACCAUAUGAAGCUUUUGAAGAUUGAGAGAAAAGCCACUAACCGCCCCCUGAAGAAAGGGGUUUAAGAACAGGACAGUACUAUAUGCUAUAGACUGUGAAUUUCUUAAGCAGGAACCGACUCGAUCUGUUUCUAAUUCCCCAUCCUCUGCACAUGGUCACUGUUGCUCUGGACGUAACCGUGGUGACCCCUCUCUCCCUCCCCAGGCAGACUUUCUCACUAGGUUUGUGAUUUCCCUCGUCUCAGCCCCCCCCUCCCUCUCCUCUCUCUCUACUCUGGGGAUCUCCAUAUUGCUGCUAGGAUCAAGGUAACCGUAUAGGUAGGUAGACAAGGAAAUGUUUUAUAGAUUCACACAGCACGCUUUUUUUAUUAUGUUGCAAUCAUAAAUGCAAACUGGAAAUACUUUACACCAAGCGGGCCGCAUUGUGAAACGCAAAGUUUGUUGUGUCUGCAAAAAGAUGUGUACAGAUGUUUUUGACAUUAUUAUUUGAUUGUGUUUAAAUUAAUAAAAAAUAAUUUGUGA